GACGAACGCUGGCGGCGUGCUUAACACAUGCAAGUCGAACGGAAAGGCCCUGCUUUUGUGGGGUGCUCGAGUGGCGAACGGGUGAGUAACACGUGAGUAACCUGCCCUUGACUUUGGGAUAACUUCAGGAAACUGGGGCUAAUACCGGAUAGGAGCUCCUGCUGCAUGGUGGGGGUUGGAAAGUUUCGGCGGUUGGGGAUGGACUCGCGGCUUAUCAGCUUGUUGGUGGGGUAGUGGCUUACCAAGGCUUUGACGGGUAGCCGGCCUGAGAGGGUGACCGGCCACAUUGGGACUGAGAUACGGCCCAGACUCCUACGGGAGGCAGCAGUCGGGAAUAUUGCACAAUGGGCGGAAGCCUGAUGCAGCAACGCCGCGUGCGGGAUGACGGCCUUCGGGUUGUAAACCGCUUUCGCAUGUGACGAAGCGUGAGUGACGGUAAUGGGUAAAGAAGCACCGGCUAACUACGUG
RNAcentral lists this ribosomal RNA (468 nucleotides) under uncultured bacterium. Its description in RNAcentral is "partial 16S ribosomal RNA". It matches the Rfam family "Bacterial small subunit ribosomal RNA", at positions 28 to 507 of the family's 1533-position model. The record is from RNAcentral.